This 19-nucleotide transfer RNA is filed under the name Canis lupus familiaris (dog). Its description in RNAcentral is "partial tRNA-Lys". The record is from RNAcentral. Lineage: Eukaryota; Metazoa; Chordata; Mammalia; Carnivora; Canidae.
UUUAACCUCUCCUUAAUGA